Molecule: ribosomal RNA, 497 nt
Filed under: uncultured bacterium
Lineage: Bacteria
Description: partial 16S ribosomal RNA
Rfam family: Bacterial small subunit ribosomal RNA
Source: RNAcentral
GAUGAACGCUGGCGGCGUGCCUAAUACAUGCAAGUCGAGCGAACAGACGAGGAGCUUGCUCCUCUGACGUUAGCGGCGGACGGGUGAGUAACACGUGGAUAACCUACCUAUAAGACUGGGAUAACUUCGGGAAACCGUAGCUAAUACCGCAUAAUAUAUUGAACCGCAUGGUUCAUUAGUGAAAGACGCUUUUGCUGCCACUUAUAGAUGGAUCCCGGCGGCUUUAGCUAGUGGGUAAGGUACCGGCUUACCAAGGCACCGAUGCUUAGCCGACCUGAAAGGGUGACGGGCAAAACGGGAACGGAGACAGGGUCAAGACCCCUACGGGAGGCAGCAGUAGGGAAUCUUCGGCAAGGGGCGAAAGCCUGACGGGGCAACGCGGCGUGAGUGAGGAAGGUCUUCGGAUCGUAAGACUCUGUUAAUAGGGAGGAACAAAGGUGUAAGUAACUAUGCACGUCGUGACGGUACCUAAUCAGAAAGCCACGGCUAACUACGUG